RNAcentral lists this small nucleolar RNA (103 nucleotides) under Trifolium pratense (red clover). RNAcentral's name for it is "snoRNA Plant_U3". The record is from RNAcentral. Lineage: Eukaryota; Viridiplantae; Streptophyta; Magnoliopsida; Fabales; Fabaceae.
AAGAAUCUACUUGACAGGAUAUGUUCUAUAGGAUCAUACUACUGUGUCCUUGAUUUCUAAGGAGACAGGAACAAAAAAAAAAGUGGAGAAUGAAGAAUAUUUU